CUUAGAUAAAUUAUAAUCAAACUAUAAUCUUAAUAUAGUCCUUAAUAAAUCUUAAUAAAAUUUUAAAAAUCAUAAAAAAUCCUAACAUAAUCCAAAUUAAAUUCUAAAUCUUAAACUAAAUCCUAAUAAAAUUGUAAUCAAAUCUUAAAUCCUAAAUCAAAUCUCAAUUAAAUCUUAAUCAAACCGUAAUCAAAUUCUCAAUCCUAAAUCAAAUUCUAAUAAAAUCCUAAUCAAAUCUAAACCAAAUUUUAAAUCAAAUCUUAAU
This 265-nucleotide long non-coding RNA is filed under the name Physcomitrium patens. RNAcentral's name for it is "long non-coding RNA (PPAT_LNC009499)". Lineage: Eukaryota; Viridiplantae; Streptophyta; Bryopsida; Funariales; Funariaceae. The record is from RNAcentral.